RNAcentral lists this transfer RNA (86 nucleotides) under Brachybacterium sp. RNAcentral describes it as "tRNA-Leu". It matches the Rfam family "tRNA". From Rfam's summary of the family: Transfer RNA (tRNA) molecules are approximately 80 nucleotides in length. Their secondary structure includes four short double-helical elements and three loops (D, anti-codon, and T loops). The record is from RNAcentral. RNAcentral also lists the same sequence under 7 other names. Lineage: Bacteria; Bacillati; Actinomycetota; Actinomycetes; Micrococcales; Dermabacteraceae.
GUCCGGGUGGCGGAAUUGGUAGACGCGCUAGCUUGAGGUGCUAGUGCCCUUUAUCGGGCGUGGGGGUUCAAGUCCCCCUCCGGACA